Molecule: ribosomal RNA, 2923 nt
Filed under: Bifidobacterium longum
Lineage: Bacteria; Bacillati; Actinomycetota; Actinomycetes; Bifidobacteriales; Bifidobacteriaceae
Description: 23S ribosomal RNA
Rfam family: Bacterial large subunit ribosomal RNA
Source: RNAcentral
AGGUUAAGUUAACAAGGGCGCAUGGUGAAUGCCUUGGCACUAGGAGCCGAUGAAGGACGGGACUAACACCGAUAUGCUUCGGGGAGCUGUACGUAAGCUAUGAUCCGGAGAUUUCCGAAUGGGGCAACCCAGCAGUUUUAAUCAACUGUUACCACUAGAUGAAUUCAUAGUCUAGUUGGAGGUAAACGCUGUGAACUGAAACAUCUCAUUAGCAGCAGGAAUAUAAAGAAAUUUCGAUUCCCUAAGUAGCGGCGAGCGAACGGGGAACAGCCCAAACCAAAGUGCUUGCACUUUGGGGUUGUAGGACUGAACAUUUGAGUUACCAAAGAACUUGAUAGUCGAAGGAUUUGGGAAAAUCCGCCAUAGAUGGUGAUAGCCCAGUAGAUUAAAUCAAAUUCUCUCAGUUCAGGAUCCUGAGUACGGCGGAACACGUGAAAUUCCGUCGGAAUCCGGGAGGACCAUCUCCCAAGGCUAAAUACUACCUAGUGACCGAUAGUGAACCAGUACCGUGAGGGAAAGGUGAAAAGCACCCCGGGAGGGGAGUGAAAUAGUUCCUGAAACCAUGUGCCUACAAUAAGUCAGAGCGCGUUAAUGCGUGAUGGCGUGCCUUUUGUAGAAUGAACCGGCGAGUUAUGAUCCCGUGCAAGGUUAAGACUAAAAAGUCGGAGCCGUAGCGAAAGCGAGUCUGAAAUGGGCGUUUUGAGUACGAGGUUAUAGACCCGAAACCAGGUGACCUAUCCAUGUCCAGGUUGAAGGUGCGGUAAAACGCACUGGAGGACCGAACCCGUGUAAGUUGAAAAUUGCUGGGAUGAGGUGUGGAUAGCGGUGAAAUUCCAAACGAACUUGGAGAUAGCUGGUUCUCUCCGAAAUAGCUUUAGGGCUAGCCUCGGAAUUAGGAUCAUGGAGGUAGAGCACUAUUUGGACUAGGGGCCCGUCUUGGGUUACUGAAUUCAGAUAAACUCCGAAUGCCAUUGAUUCAUGUCCGGGAGUCAGACGAUGAGUGAUAAGAUCCACCGUCGAAAGGGGAACAGCCCAGACCAUCAGUUAAGGUCCCUAAAUGUAUGCUAAGUGGAAAAGGAUGUGGAGUUGCAUAGACAACUAGGAUGUUGGCUCAGAAGCAGCCACCAUUUAAAGAGUGCGUAAUAGCUCACUAGUCGAGUGAUCCUGCGCCGAAAAUGUACCGGGGCUAAGCAUACUACCGAAACCAUGGAUGCGACCAUUAGGUCGCGUGAUAGGAGAGCGUUCUAAGGGCGGUGAAGCAAGAUCGUGAGGACUUGUGGAGCGCUUAGAAGUGAGAAUGCCGGUAUGAGUAGCGAAAGAUAGGUGAGAAUCCUAUCCACCGAAUGACUAAGGUUUCCUGGGGAAGGCUCGUCCUCCCAGGGUUAGUCGGGACCUAAGUCGAGGCCGAGAGGCGUAGACGAUGGAUAACAGGUUGAGAUUCCUGUACUAGUUAAGUGCGUUUGAGCAAUGGAGGGACGCAGGAGGCUAAGAUGUGCAUUCUGUUGGAUUAGAAUGUCCAAGCAGUAAGUCUUGUGAAGAGUCAAAUGCUUUUCACUUUAAGGACAAGCUGUGAUGGGGAGCGAAAUUUAGUAGCGAAGCGUCUGAUGUCACACUGCCGAGAAAAGCUUCUAGUGAGUACUUAACUACCCGUACCGCAAACCGACACAGGUAGUCGAGGAGAGAAUCCUAAGGUGAGCGAGUGAACUCUCGUUAAGGAACUCGGCAAAAUGACCCCGUAACUUCGGGAGAAGGGGUGCUGAUCGCAAGAUCAGCCGCAGUGAAUAGGCCCAGGCGACUGUUUAUCAAAAACACAGGUCUCUGCAAAAUCGUAAGAUGACGUAUAGGGGCUGACGCCUGCCCGGUGCUGGAAGGUUAAAAGGAUGGGUUAGCUUCGGCGAAGCUCAGAAUUGAAGCCCCAGUAAACGGCGGCCGUAACUAUAACGGUCCUAAGGUAGCGAAAUUCCUUGUCGGGUAAGUUCCGACCCGCACGAAAGGCGUAACGAUCUGGGCACUGUCUCAACGAGAGACUCGGUGAAAUUAUAUUGUCCGUGAAGAUGCGGACUACCCGCGACAGGACGGAAAGACCCCAUGGAGCUUUACUGUAGCUUGAUAUUGAGUGUUUGUACAGCUUGUACAGGAUAGGUAGGAGCCAUAGAAACCGGAACGCUAGUUUCGGUGGAGGCGUUGGUGGGAUACUACCCUCGCUGUAUGACCACUCUAACCCGCACCACUAAUCGUGGUGGGAGACAGUGUCAGGUGGGCAGUUUGACUGGGGCGGUCGCCUCCUAAAAAGUAACGGAGGCGCCCAAAGGUUCCCUCAGAAUGGUUGGAAAUCAUUCGCAGAGUGUAAAGGCACAAGGGAGCUUGACUGCGAGACAGACAGGUCGAGCAGGGACGAAAGUCGGGCUUAGUGAUCCGGUGGUACCGUAUGGAAGGGCCAUCGCUCAACGGAUAAAAGCUACCCUGGGGAUAACAGGCUUAUCUCCCCCAAGAGUCCACAUCGACGGGGAGGUUUGGCACCUCGAUGUCGGCUCAUCGCAUCCUGGGGCUGUAGUCGGUCCCAAGGGUUGGGCUGUUCGCCCAUUAAAGCGGUACGCGAGCUGGGUUCAGAACGUCGUGAGACAGUUCGGUCCCUAUCCGUCGCGGGCGUAGGAAAUUUGAGAGGACCUUUCCUUAGUACGAGAGGACCGGGAUGGACAUACCUCUGGUGUACCAGUUGUGCCGCCAGGCGCAUCGCUGGGUAGCUACGUAUGGAUGUGAUAAACGCUGAAAGCAUCUAAGUGUGAAACACACCUCGAGAUGAGAUUUCCCAUUCCUUUAUGGAAGUAAGACCCCUGAAAGAUGAUCAGGUAGAUAGGUUAGAAGUGGCAGUGCGGUGACGCAUGAAGCGGACUAAUACUAAUCGGUCGAGGACUUAACCAAG